UAGUUUACUCUCGCGUGACUACGUGGUCUAAAAUGGACUACAAUGACAGCCCACCCACCACGGGCGGUAAAUGAGAGACUGGAUAAAAAAGCGUGUUUAAAACGCUUAUUUGAUAGCCAAGGACACAUUCCACACAAUCACCAGCAUGGUGUUGGGGGGCUUUUACAGAAGAUGGAAAAAAACUGCUCCCUGACUUUUGGGCCCAUGCACUGGGGAAGGCUUGUGUUCAGGGACACCGUGGGUUAGUGUUUGAGGUGCUGGCCCCACGCUUCUCCUUCUUUGGUGUCUAAUGAUCACAACCCUCAUGUCCUUUCCCCUGUCAUAGCUACUGUAGUUCAUGCUGGGAGGGAUGCAGAAACAACCUGGACAGUAGCAUAGUGCGUGUGAGAGGCAUGGUGAUGGUGGAGUGUCUGCGCUCCUGCAUGCACAUCAAUGUAGUCAAGCUCAAAUUUGGGGUACAGUAUGGAGCUGACCCAGACUCAAAGCUGGAUAGUGAUGAUUUGCUCACCCCCUACUGACCAGGAGAUGAGCCAAGAUGUCCUGCCUUGCUAUCCCCAAGACUGGAGGGUAAGCUACAGUAUAUAGGUCUCUCCAUGGGUGGAAGAUGGACGUUUAAGCUUAUAAAUGCUUAAAUCCCUUGACGUAUUGUUGAUUUCCACUAUUUUUUAAUAUAAAAAUGCACUGGAUUGGUUGAAAAGUGAUACUAAACUUACACUGAGUGUAGAAAACAUUAAGAACACCUUCCUAAUAUUGGGUUGCCUCCCCCUUUUGCCCUCAGAAUAGCCGCAAUUCAUCACAGCAUGGACUCUACAAGGUGUCAAAAGUGUUCCACAGGGCCCAUGUAGACUCUAAUGCCUCCCACGGUUGUGUGAAGUUGGUUGGAUGUCCUUUGGGUGGUGGACCAUUUUUGAUACACACAGAAAAUUGUUGUGAAAAACCCAGCAGUGUUGCAGUUCUUGACACAAACCGGUACGCCUGGUACCUACUACCAUACCCCGGUCAAAGGCUCUUCAACCUGCCUCCUCCCAUUCAUCUAUACUGAUUGAAGUGGAUAUAACAAGUUACAUCCAUAAGGGAUCAUAGCUGGAUUCACCUGGUCAGUCUCUCAUGGAAAGAGCAGGUGUACAUAAUGUUUUGUACACUAAGUGUACAUCCUGUACCAUGUACAAUUUUGACAAGGUGGAAGAUACAUACUGAAUUUAUACUGUUUUUAUACUAAGAUGAACCAAGAUAUGUGUUUCUUUUUCACAUACUUGUUCAUUGGUUUUUGCAAAAGUUGGUUGAUUGGUCGGUUCAUUGGUUCUGCAAUAUGUUGAUGCCAUUGAUUAAAAAGGGAAAGAAUAGGAUGCCAUGCCCAACCCAAAAUAUAAGCUUGUUUUACUCCAUUGUUUUAUAAAUAGAAUUGUUCAAAUAAAUUCUCAGUUAGUUUUAUAAAUAAUGAUGAUGAUUACUAAAUAUUACAUGAACUGUAAAUAUGAACCAUCAAAACCAAAUGAAAACCCCUUUUGUUCAUAUGUAUUUGCAAUAAUAACGGUGAGACAUGGAAUAGUUAAACAUGUAUCUUUUGGAUGUUUGAAAUAUGAGUAGGAUGUUUGAAAUACGGCUAGAGUAGGUGAUUUGAGUCAUGCUUCUUCAGUAGUGGAAUAAAAACAUUUAGCACUUGAA
This is a long non-coding RNA of Salvelinus fontinalis (brook trout), 1665 nucleotides long. RefSeq lists it as uncharacterized. NCBI's taxonomy places the organism in Eukaryota, Metazoa, Chordata, Actinopteri, Salmoniformes, Salmonidae. The transcript is spliced from 5 exons. The record is from RefSeq and is a predicted model, not a curated record.